This is a non-coding RNA of Delphinapterus leucas (beluga whale), 251 nucleotides long. The record is from RefSeq and is a predicted model, not a curated record. NCBI's taxonomy places the organism in Eukaryota, Metazoa, Chordata, Mammalia, Artiodactyla, Monodontidae.
GGUGAUCUAUCCAUUGCUGGCAGUGGGGUAUUGAAAUCUCCUACUAUUACUGUAUUGCUCUCUAAUUCUUCCUUCAGAUCUCACAAGAAGAACAACUAACAACUAUUCAGAGGCAAGACAUGAAUGAAAAAAUCCUAGAACACGGGACUGAGAAGGAAGCACCCCCUGCACCAGAGACCAAGACAGACUGCAGUAGAAGGUUCACUCUAAAGUUAUACAGCAAAGGAAACCAUAAGCAAGACGAAAAGACA